RNAcentral lists this ribosomal RNA (253 nucleotides) under uncultured bacterium. Its description in RNAcentral is "partial 16S ribosomal RNA". It matches the Rfam family "Bacterial small subunit ribosomal RNA", at positions 524 to 776 of the family's 1533-position model. The record is from RNAcentral.
AACGUAGGUUCCGAGCGUUAUCCGGAUUUACUGGGCGUAAAGCGCGUUCAGGCGGUUUGGCAAGUCGGGCAUGAAAUCUCUCGGCUCAACCGGGAGAGGUUGUCCGAUACUGCUGGACUUGAGGGCAGUAGAGGGUGGUGGAAUUCCGGGUGUAGUGGUGAAAUGCGUAGAUAUCCGGAGGAACACCAGUGGCGAAAGCGGCCACCUGGACUGCACCUGACGCUGACACGCGAAAGCGUGGGGAGCAAACAGG